Molecule: long non-coding RNA, 477 nt
Filed under: Musa acuminata (dwarf banana)
Lineage: Eukaryota; Viridiplantae; Streptophyta; Magnoliopsida; Zingiberales; Musaceae
Description: long non-coding RNA (MACU_LNC003134)
Source: RNAcentral
UUUCCCCAUGUUUACUUUUUGGUGAAAAGGAAGAGGGUAGCUGACUCAUGUUUGUUCUUGCCGGGUGCUACGAAUGUGGAAGAACUACUACUCCGAGGUCUUCAGAUAUUGUUAGAUCUAAAUCUGAACCUGGGGUGAGUCUUCUUGUUCUUUGUUUUCUCUUCCUUGAUGUUGAGUCCAUUAGCAAAAAGGUUAUUUAGCUACUGGAUGGUUAUUUUGUUUCAUGGAGGGUUAUGGGAAGGAAAGGAGAUGGAGGAGAUAGAUGGCUAUGGACUACCAGGAACCUGGACCCAACACCUAUUCCAGGAGUGGAUAGGUGUGCAUUUACUUCAAAACAGGAUCAGUAUAUAUAAGCAUCUGAGAAAUUUGAUACUUGAGAAAUCAUUAUGUGGAAUUGGUCAAGAACAAUAAGAAGAUGAGCUAUGCAUCACAAUCAUUCAUCCACGUUUUACUAUUGCAUUUAUCACUCAAUCCAGC